CCUAUAAAAAGGGACUGGAACAGGCCUACAGUAGCAACAACUUGAUUGUCUUACAAACCGACAACCAAAGUAACAUAGAAACACCAAAAAGUUUUUUUUUUAAUUUUGCAGCUUUACAAGCAGUUAUACAAAAUGAACAAGAUGGUCUGUCUCGGGUGUUUGGCUCUUGCCUCAUGUAUCGGUAUGGCUGUUGGUUAUGGCAGUGUUAUGACAGGGCAGAAAAAGUUCACAGCUUAUCCCUAUAUGGCUAACAUGGGUUCCAUGGGCUAUGGGUAUGUGCCUCACAUGGCGGGACCUUCAGGGUUCGGAGGUUUUCUUGGCGGUGCCGGAGGCUCGUCUGGGGGCAUGGGCGGAAUGUUUGGAAGUAUAAUUCAAUGUAAGUAGUCCGGUUACACUUAGCAUCUUAAAAAUACAUUUGUGAUAAGUCAUUUUGUCGAAUUUAUGAAGAUAUCUUUUCCUUGUAGAUUAGAAUAUUGUUUGGGUUCGUUUUUUUUCUUUCUUUCUUUCUUUUUUAAAUUGCAUUUAGGUUCAAACACGUGAAUCUUUCUAAUAGGUAUUUAUACAUAGUACAACAGUUUUUAGAGUUGUGGAAAAUAAAUUGUCGUUGUUUUCCUGGUUUCAGUGUUCCUUUUUAUUUUUGUGAUCAACAUCUUGUUCUCGACUCUGGGCUCUGGUCUUGGAUCUGGCGGUCUUAAUAUCGGCAAGAAAUCCUCAUAUGCUGGCACUCACGGCGACAACUACUAAAUGUAGUAAAUGUAGUAACAGGAAAAUCAGAUGAAAAAUCAGUUCAUCAAACGAAGCAGGCGUUUCCACAAACAGCGAAUUCAAUUGUGAUGUAAAAUGUAAAAAAAAAAAAUAGUAAAGUUAAUAAAAAAAUAGUAAAACAUUA
Long non-coding RNA from Mercenaria mercenaria, 889 nucleotides. RefSeq lists it as uncharacterized. The record is from RefSeq and is a predicted model, not a curated record. The transcript is spliced from 3 exons. Lineage: Eukaryota; Metazoa; Mollusca; Bivalvia; Venerida; Veneridae.